RNAcentral lists this long non-coding RNA (1520 nucleotides) under Ananas comosus (pineapple). Its description in RNAcentral is "long non-coding RNA (ACOM_LNC025246)". The record is from RNAcentral. Lineage: Eukaryota; Viridiplantae; Streptophyta; Magnoliopsida; Poales; Bromeliaceae.
UUAAAUAACAUUUUAAUAUGAAAUUACAAUAUUAUUCCCAAUUAAAUUCACUACAACAAAAACGGUCUAUACCGACACUUUUAAAUGUAGGUACAUGUCAAAAAAGUGCUGCUAUCUAAAAUUAUCGACAUUUUUAAAAAUGGUUGCUAUAUGUGGAGUCGCUAGAUAUAUAGUGACAGUUAAAGAGUGUCGCUAUAACCUAAAAGAGUGCUGCUAAUUUACCAACACUUAUUUAAGCAUUUAACAACCGCAGAAACUCUAUCUCGUUGGCUGCGGUGGCGGAGGAGGACGACAGGAAAGGCUCUUCGUCUAGAAUUUCAGUGGAUUGAGUGAAGAGAGAAGAAAAGAUGGUAAUUGAUUUUUCUUUUUUUUUUUUCUUUUCUGUUUGUAAUCGAACCAAAUGGACUGGGUGUGGUGGAUUGAGUAGAGUAAUCUUUUAUUUUUGGUUGGAUUGGACUUUAUAUUUAGGCAUUAGUAGAUAUUUUUUUAAGUUUUAGGAUAAAUGGGACACUUACUCAAAAGUGUCCCAAACAUGUGUCCCUAUAACCUAAUUUUGUUGUAGUGAUUCUUUAUCAUAUUACACAAUACAAUACGACAGAAUUAAUUCGGAAUAUAUCCUAUAUAAUAUAACUAGUACACAGAAUUUUUUUUUUUUCCAAUAAUCAAUUUAUGGAUCUCCAUACAUUUUCACCUUUUACUUUUAUUAUAUAUAUUGGGAAAACUUCAAAUACCCUCCCAUGUAGUUUCGCAGUUUCUCAUUUUAGUAUUAUGUGGUUUAAAGUGUAUCAAGUUAGUAUCUUGUGGUUUCGUACUUUCUCACUUUAGUAUCCUGUAGUUUAAAGUGUAUCAAGUUAGUACUAUGUGGUUUUAUUUUUGUAUCAAGUUAGUACUCUGUGGUUUUAUUUUUCUCUUUUUAUUAUUCAUUUCGGAGUAUUUUUUUCGUUAAAUCACUGACAAAGUUAAAACUAAAGGGUACUAAAAUAAAUAUUCGAUAAAUCUAGGUAGAGUAUCUGAAGUUUUUUUGUAUAUAAUUUAACGAAAUAUUAAACCAUAUGGUACUAAAGUGAGAAAGUGCGAAACACUUUAAACCACAGGAUACUAACAGGAUACUAACUUGAUACACUUUCAACUAUAUGGUACUGAAGUAAGAAAGUGCAAACUUACGGGGGGUUUUUUGAAGUUUUCCCUAUUAUAUUUGUUGGUGAACAAAUCAUGAUCAACCUUUCCCUCCCCACUCAGUUUUUUUUUUUUAAAAAAAAAAAAACUUAUCUAAACACUUAUUUUUUUAAUUAUUUUUUACUUAAUCUUUCCAACUUCUUUUAACCGUUAUACACACAUGGACUCAAUCUAAUAUAGAGAGGCAAAAACCACGCUCCCUUCAUUUAAUUCCACCAUCUCUUCCCCACCCCUUCAACGCCUCCAUUCCUUUUGUAACUUCCACUCUCUAUAUAUAACACCCCCCCAACUCUUAACUCUCCUCGUCAAUCAAAGUAAAACCAAAAAACCAACAUUUACAAACC